UUAAUCUAGCCGGGAAAACACAUCAUAUAUAGUUGUUAGAUCUUUAAAUUAUGAAAAACACAAUGCAAACAAUUUCCAUUUCUUUAUUUGUGUUAAUUUCUUUAAUGUUAGUUUUUCAUCAUCAAAUAUUCUUAAUCGCAAAUGCAAUUGUGGGUAAC
This is a non-coding RNA of Drosophila suzukii, 158 nucleotides long. Lineage: Eukaryota; Metazoa; Arthropoda; Insecta; Diptera; Drosophilidae. The record is from RefSeq and is a predicted model, not a curated record.